ACAGGGAUUGCCCUAGUAACGGCGAGUGAAGCGGCAACAGCUCAGAUUUGAAAUCUAACUCUUUGAGUUCGAGUUGUAAUCUGUAGAGGAUGCUUUUGAUGCGAUGCCUUCUGAGUUCCCUGGAACGGGACGCCAUAGAGGGUGAGAGCCCCGUACGGUUGGACAUCAAAUCUUUGUAAAGCACCUUCGACGAGUCGAGUAGUUUGGGAAUGCUGCUCAAAGCGGGAGGUAAAUUUCUUCUAAAGCUAAAUAUUGGCCAGAGACCGAUAGCGCACAAGUAGAGUGAUCGAAAGAUGAAAAGCACUUUGAAAAGAGGGUUAAAAAGCACGUGAAAUUGUUGAAAGGGAAGCGUUUAUGACCAGACUUGUUUUUAGCUGAUCAUCUGGUGUUCUCACCAGUGCACUCGGUUAUAUUACAGGCCAGCAUCGGUUUUUUCAGAGACAUAAAGGUUUUAGGAACGUAGCUCUUUCGGGAGUGUUAUAGCCUACUACACAAUAUCUCUGAAGGGACCGAGGCCCGCGCAUUGCAAGGAUGCUGGCGUAAUGGUCAUCAGCGACCCGUCUUGAAACACGGACCAAGGAGUCAAGCAUUAGGGCGAGUGUUUGGGUGAAAAACCCGCACGCGAAAUGAAAGUGAACGCUGGUGAGAGCUUCGGCGCAUCAUCGACCGAUCCUGAAGUUUUCGGAUGGAUUUGAGUAAGAGCCUUAACGCUUGGACCCGAAAGAUGGUGAACUAUGCUUGUAUAGGGUGAAGCCAGAGGAAACUCUGGUGGAGGCUCGCAGCGGUUCUGACGUGCAAAUCGAUCGUCAAAUAUGAGCAUGGGGGCGAAAGACUAAUCGAAC
This 842-nucleotide ribosomal RNA is filed under the name Sporidesmiella sp. RNAcentral's name for it is "partial large subunit ribosomal RNA". It matches the Rfam family "Eukaryotic large subunit ribosomal RNA", at positions 68 to 940 of the family's 3401-position model. Lineage: Eukaryota; Fungi; Ascomycota; Sordariomycetes; Junewangiaceae. The record is from RNAcentral. RNAcentral also lists the same sequence under 1 other name.